UAAAAAAUUGAAAAUCCAAUUCUCGCUAACAGGCGCCAAGUAAAAAAAGCCAAAAAACUAAAAUGACCCAUAUGAGAUUUGGGAUUGAGCGCUUUCUUAACCGAGCCGUCCCUGUCUUCUUCACUCUUCACCCUCAAAUCCUCUCUUCUCACGGACUAACUGUCUCACCAUUCUACACUGCUGACCGCCACUUCUCACGUACUCUCGAUGUCACCGUCACCGCUCACCGCAGCAGGGACUCGUCGCACCCUUCAGUCCUCGCCGUCUUCCAAUGAUCGCCAUCUUUGCCGUCUUCGCAUCGUCGCGUCAUCGCGUCUACGCCGGUCAUCUGCUCUUUCGUCGGUGGCAAAUAAGGUAGGUGAAAUGAGCAAGUAUAGCUUAAACCUUAGGCAUGUAAAACAGAAGCAGCAGCCAAAAAGGCCUCCCCUUAGAGCACCUUUUGGAUUUAAUGAUGAUGAAGAGAAUGAUGUUGAGAGAAAAAUCACUCUCCAAGGUAAGGCAUGUAAAACAGAAGCAGCAGCCAAAAAGGCCUCCCCUUAGAGCACCUUUUGGAUUCAAUGAUGAUGAAGAGAAUGAUGUUGAGAGAAAAAUCACUCUCCAAGGUAGCAAGAGAAAGACUCUUAAGGACGUUGAGGAGCAGCAAAAGAAAGCCUUAGAAGAAGAUCCAACUGUAUUUGAUUAUGAUGGAGUCUAUGACAAAAUAACAGAGAAAGUUGCCCGCCCAUUGAUACAAGAUCGCAAAGGGAGAAAAGUUACAAAGAAGGACUUUUUGCUUGAUUUUUAUACAAUCCUGGAUAAAAAUGUUGCAUAUGGUGCACAAGAUCCUCGAGGGAGAAAACAUUAUAAUCGAGCUGAACAAAGAACUGUAGAGACAUGCGAAAGUGGAAGCCAAGGUAAUCUAUGACAGGGAAAGUGGAAGAUCAAGACGCUUUGGAUUUGUCACUUACAGCAGCCUUGAAGAGGUCAACAGUGCUAUUGAGUCCUUAGAUGGCGUGGUAAGCAUGCGAAUCUACUCCUAGUAUCCCGUUUGCUAAUCACAAAUAACAAUUUAAUGAGUUUGAACUUGUCCAUUUGUAUAUGUUACAUCAUAUCAUUGUUUGAUUAUUUUGUAUUAGUUAUUUGUUCUUGAAAACAUAUGAAAAAGCUAAUAUUUCUGCAUUUUCUUAUUGCAACAUGUAUAUACUUUUUUUUUGUUCUAUGGAAUCAUGAGCUUCCCUUGACAUAUGAUUUCCAUAAUUAUACGCUUCAAAGCAUGGAUGAUGAAUUUCGUGACAUUGUUAGUCUUAGGUUGGUGGAACUUGUGGACAUGUUCUUUGUGCAGUGGAUAUGCCAAGUCUUAGGAUCAUAUUUGUACAGCCAGGUUGCAAUAUCUCUAAAGAAAUGAGUAAAUACGUAUGGAAGCAGGAUCAUAUUUUGCGUCAAAUUAGCGAUGAUUUUACGACUCUUUUUGUAGUAGCUAAUCGGCCAUAUUCUUGUAGUGCCUCUCUCUAUUGUUGAUGAUCAGUUUGUUCCGAAGGUUGGAAUGAUCUUUACCACCCUUGAAGAUGCUGAAAAAUUUUACAGGAACUACGCCAAGGUUGCAGGUUUUUCUACAAGAGUUCGGAGCACAAAUAGAAAGGAAAACGAGAUUAAGAAUCAAUUGAUUACAUGUAGCAGAGAGAAAAAAUGGAAAUCUAAAAUAUCUCCGACCGAGAAGACGAAUCCGACAGCCGGUUUAAACUGUCCUGCAAGAAUUUAUAUACACACAUUGAAGGAUGUUGGUGCUUGGAUCAUUUCAAAGAUUGUGCUGGAUCAUUCACACCCUUGUUGUCCAAGUAAAGUAGAGAUGCUCAAACAGCACAGGGAACUAAGCAUGUCCAUUCAUCGUACAAUAGAGAAUAACGAGGAGGCUGGUAUCAGAUCAAGCAAAAUUUACCAAUCAUUUGUUGCGGCUGCAGGGGGUCACCGUGAGUUAAAUUUUAUUGAAAAGGAUGUGAGGAAUUACAUUACCAGGGAUGUGCGGAAUGUUUCCGAACAAGAAGAUACAAAGGAAUUCGGGAAAUAUUUGUUAUGAAUGAAAGAGAAGAAUCAGAAUUUCUUUUUUGAGCUUGAACUCGAGGAGGAUCAAUCGAUUAAGCUGGCUUUUUGGGCCGAUGCAAGAAGUAGAGCUGCCUUUGAGUAUUUCGGAGAUAUUAUUUCAUUUGACACCACCUACAAUACAAACAGAUAUAAUUUGGUUUGUGGUUCUUUUGUCGGGGUGAAUCACCAUGGUCAGUCAACACUUCUUGGAUGCUCUUUGAUAAAAAAUGAAGAAAUUGAAUCAUUCAAAUGGUUAUUUCAAUGUUGGCUUCGUUGCAUGGGAGGAAAUGCUCUGAAAGGGUUUUUCACCGAUCAAUGCGCAUCAAUGAAAAGGGCUUUAGAGGCCUGUAUGCCAACAACAAUUCACCGUUGGUGUAUUUGGCACAUCAUGAAGAAGAUUCCAAACAAAUUAAACGGCUAUAAAGGACAUGCAGAUAUUGAACAACAAAUGAGCCAAGUUGUUUGGAACUCUUAUAGCAAAGACUCAUUUGAUAGGAAUUGGAAUGAUUUUCUGCUAAAUUUUGGUCUUGUGGACAAUAAGUGGCUUUCAGGUAGUGUUGUUUUAAAAUCUGCAGCAGAGGUGUAAAUUUAAUUUUUAUCGGGUGUAUUUAUAGUCUGUGUUUGGGUGUAUUCUUCAGAUCUCUAUGAAAACCGUCAUAUAUGGGUUCCAAUCUAUCUGGAUCACCACUUCUGGGUAGAGAUGAGAAGCACACAAAGAAGCGAGAGCAUGCAUUCAUUUUUUAACAAGUUUAUUACCCGUAACAGCUCGCUUAUUCAAUUCGUCAAACAAUACGAUAAUUGCCUCAGAAGUAGGGAGCAAGUAGAAAGAGAAUCAGAUGCUGCAGAUUUUCAUACGGUCAUACCGUGUGCAACCAAAUCCUCCAUUGAAGCUCAAUUUUAA
Arachis duranensis is the source of this 2959-nucleotide RNA transcript. RefSeq lists it as uncharacterized. The record is from RefSeq and is a predicted model, not a curated record. Lineage: Eukaryota; Viridiplantae; Streptophyta; Magnoliopsida; Fabales; Fabaceae. The transcript has 8 exons.